AGACAAAGUUUAUCUCCUCUCCAGAGAAGACUGUUAAAUAAGGUGUUGUGUGGGGGGAAGAGCACCACAAGAGGAUGCAGAGAGCGCAUGGAGGGAGAAAAGAAGUAAAGAAACAGCAGAGAGCAUAAGAAGGUCUGAAGGGGUUGAAAUGUCAGGAAGAGAUGACGUUUUUCUGCAGAGAGAAAAGCAAGAGCUGUGCUGAGUGCAGGAUGGGUCCCCUUAAAGCAGCCCCUCUACCUUCUGAGGGUGGUUUGGCUCAAGUCCUCAGCAACAUUGCUCUUGCUUAAUGUGAAACUUGGAAGCAACCCUGGGUAAACAAGCCAGGCUAAUAUUUUAC
This is a long non-coding RNA of Lagopus leucura (white-tailed ptarmigan), 337 nucleotides long. RefSeq lists it as uncharacterized. The transcript has 3 exons. The record is from RefSeq and is a predicted model, not a curated record. NCBI's taxonomy places the organism in Eukaryota, Metazoa, Chordata, Aves, Galliformes, Phasianidae.